RNAcentral lists this ribosomal RNA (1343 nucleotides) under uncultured bacterium. Its description in RNAcentral is "16S ribosomal RNA". It matches the Rfam family "Bacterial small subunit ribosomal RNA", at positions 28 to 1378 of the family's 1533-position model. The record is from RNAcentral.
GACGAACGCUGGCGGCGUGCUUAACACAUGCAAGUCGAACGGAAAGGCCCUGCUUUUGUGGGGUGCUCGAGUGGCGAACGGGUGAGUAACACGUGAGUAACCUGCCCUUGACUUUGGGAUAACUUCAGGAAACUGGGGCUAAUACCGGAUAGGAGCUCCUGCUGCAUGGUGGGGGUUGGAAAGUUUCGGCGGUUGGGGAUGGACUCGCGGCUUAUCAGCUUGUUGGUGGGGUAGUGGCUUACCAAGGCUUUGACGGGUAGCCGGCCUGAGAGGGUGACCGGCCACAUUGGGACUGAGAUACGGCCCAGACUCCUACGGGAGGCAGCAGUGGGGAAUAUUGCACAAUGGGCGGAAGCCUGAUGCAGCAACGCCGCGUGCGGGAUGACGGCCUUCGGGUUGUAAACCGCUUUCGCCUGUGACGAAGCGUGAGUGACGGUAAUGGGUAAAGAAGCACCGGCUAACUACGUGCCAGCAGCCGCGGUGAUACGUAGGGUGCGAGCGUUGUCCGGAUUUAUUGGGCGUAAAGGGCUCGUAGGUGGUUGAUCGCGUCGGAAGUGUAAUCUUGGGGCUUAACCCUGAGCGUGCUUUCGAUACGGGUUGACUUGAGGAAGGUAGGGGAGAAUGGAAUUCCUGGUGGAGCGGUGGAAUGCGCAGAUAUCAGGAGGAACACCAGUGGCGAAGGCGGUUCUCUGGGCCUUUCCUGACGCUGAGGAGCGAAAGCGUGGGGAGCGAACAGGCUUAGAUACCCUGGUAGUCCACGCUGUAAACGGUGGGUACUAGGUGUGGGGUCCAUUCCACGGGUUCCGUGCCGUAGCUAACGCUUUAAGUACCCCGCCUGGGGAGUACGGCCGCAAGGCUAAAACUCAAAGGAAUUGACGGGGCCCCGCACAAGCGGCGGAGCAUGCGGAUUAAUUCGAUGCAACGCGUAGAACCUUACCUGGGUUUGACAUGGAUCGGGAGCGCUCAGAGAUGGGUGUGCCUCUUUUGGGGUCGAUUCACAGGUGGUGCAUGGCUGUCGUCAGCUCGUGUCGUGAGAUGUUGGGUUAAGUCCCGCAACGAGCGCAACCCUUGUUCACUGUUGCCAGCACGUUAUGGUGGGGACUCAGUGGAGACCGCCGGGGUCAACUCGGAGGAAGGUGGGGGUGACGUCAAGUCAUCAUGCCCCUUAUGUCCAGGGCUUCACGCAUGCUACAAUGGCUGGUACAGAGAGUGGCGAGCCUGUGAGGGUGAGCGAAUCUCGGAAAGCCGGUCUCAGUUCGGAUUGGGGUCUGCAACUCGACCUCAUGAAGUCGGAGUCGCUAGUAAUCGCAGAUCAGCAACGCUGCGGUGAAUACGUUCCCGGG